UACGGGGGGGGCAAGCGUUGUCCGGAUUUAUUGGGUUUAAAGGGUGCGUAGGCGGUCCUAUAAGUCAGUGCUGAAAUAUCCCGGCUUAACCGGGAGGGUGGCAUUGAUACUGCAGGACUUGAGUAAAGUUGAGGUAGGCGGAAUUGACGGUGUAGCGGUGAAAUGCUUAGAUAUCGUCAAGAACACCAAUAGUGUAGACAGCUUACUAAGCUUUAACUGACGCUGAGGCACGAAAGUGUGGGGAUCAAACAGG
This 253-nucleotide ribosomal RNA is filed under the name uncultured bacterium. RNAcentral's name for it is "partial 16S ribosomal RNA". It matches the Rfam family "Bacterial small subunit ribosomal RNA", at positions 524 to 776 of the family's 1533-position model. The record is from RNAcentral.